This 403-nucleotide ribosomal RNA is filed under the name Verrucomicrobiota bacterium. RNAcentral describes it as "Verrucomicrobia bacterium partial 16S ribosomal RNA". It matches the Rfam family "Bacterial small subunit ribosomal RNA", at positions 355 to 776 of the family's 1533-position model. The record is from RNAcentral. Lineage: Bacteria; Pseudomonadati; Verrucomicrobiota.
UGGGGAAUAUUGCACAAUGGGGGAAACCCUGAUGCAGCGACGCCGCGUGAGCGAAGAAGGUUUUCGAAUCGUAAAGCUCUGUCCUAUGAGAAGAUAAUGACGGUAUCAUAGGAGGAAGCCCCGGCUAAAUACGUGCCAGCAGCCGCGGUAAUACGUAUGGGGCGAGCGUUGUCCGGAAUUAUUGGGCGUAAAGGGUACGUAGGCGGUCUAUUAAGUCAGGUGUGAAAGCGUGAGGCUUAACCUCAUUAAGCACUUGAAACUGAUAGACUUGAGUGAAGGAGAGGAAAGUGGAAUUCCUAGUGUAGCGGUGAAAUGCGUAGAUAUUAGGAGGAAUACCGGUGGCGAAGGCGGCUUACUGGACGAAAACUGACGUUGAGGCUCGAAGGCGUGGGGAGCAAACAGG